RNAcentral lists this ribosomal RNA (767 nucleotides) under Leptopalaemon glabrus. RNAcentral's name for it is "eukaryotic LSU rRNA". It matches the Rfam family "Eukaryotic large subunit ribosomal RNA", at positions 35 to 663 of the family's 3401-position model. The record is from RNAcentral. Lineage: Eukaryota; Metazoa; Arthropoda; Malacostraca; Decapoda; Palaemonidae.
UAAGCAUAUUAAUAAGCGGAGGAAAAGAAACCAACCGGGAUUCCCUAAGUAAGGGCGACUGAAAGGGGAUGAGCCCAGCGCAGAACCUCAGGGUCACUUGUGGCUGUUGAGGGGUGUUGCGUUUCGGUGGAUCCGUACCGGUCUUCUUGCUGACCGCCUAAGUGAUUGCUUGAAUGCAGCCCCUAGGAGGGUGGUAGGCCCGUGUGGCGGGGCCUUUGAAAAGGUUUGAGGCAAGUUGAUGGGAUGGAUUUUAACCGUAGAGUCGGGUUGCUUAGUACUGCAGCCCUAAGUAGGUGGUAAACUCCAUCUAAGGCUAAAUACUAACACGAGUCCGAUAUUUGACAAGUACCGUGAGGGAAAGCUGAAAAGGACUCUGAAGAGAGAGUUCAAAAGGACGUGAAACCAUUAGAAGCUUAAACGGGUGGAACUGUGAUGGUCGAAAGAGGGGAUUCAGUCUGUGGGCGCAGGCACACUGCCUUUAGUUGGUUAUGUGAGAGGACCGUGGGUACUAGUGAGUUACCGUGGCAGCUUUAGGUGUGUGUGUAGCGUGGGCAGACUUAGUUGUACCUCGAGUAGCGUUGGUGGCGACCCGCUAGUUGGAGCCCGAGGUUGCUUUAGGACUGGUAGCGUGUACCUUUGGGUGUGCGUGAGGACCUUUGGUUUGCUGAGUGGCUUUGACUGGCGGUCACUGGAAGGAGGCAGGAGAGAAAAAUUGCCUCUCGCCACGAUGGAGAGAUCGGUAAUCCACCCGACCCGUCUUGAAACCG